GAUGAACGCUAGCGGGAGGCCUAACACAUGCAAGCCGAGCGGUAUUGUUUCUUCGGACAUGAGAGAGCGGCGUACGGGUGCGUAACACGUGUGCAACCUGCCUUUAUCUGGGGGAUAGCCUUUCGAAAGGAAGAUUAAUACUCCAUAAUAUAUUGAACGGCAUCGUUUAAUAUUGAAAGCUCCGGCGGAUAGAGAUGGGCACGCGCAAGAUUAGCUAGUUGGUGAGGUAACGGCUCACCAAGGCGAUGAUCUUUAGGGGGCCUGAGAGGGUGAUCCCCCACACUGGUACUGAGACACGGACCAGACUCCUACGGGAGGCAGCAGUGAGGAAUAUUGGUCAAUGGGUGCAAGCCUGAACCAGCCAUCCCGCGUGAAGGACGACUGCCCUAUGGGUUGUAAACUUCUUUUGUAUAGGGAGAAACCUACCCUCGAGAGGGUAGCUGAAGGUACUAUACGAAUAAGCACCGGCUAACUCCGUG
RNAcentral lists this ribosomal RNA (479 nucleotides) under uncultured bacterium. RNAcentral describes it as "partial 16S ribosomal RNA". It matches the Rfam family "Bacterial small subunit ribosomal RNA", at positions 28 to 507 of the family's 1533-position model. The record is from RNAcentral.